GACGAACGCUGGCGGCGUGCUUAACACAUGCAAGUCGAACGGAAAGGCCCUGCUUUUGUGGGGUGCUCGAGUGGCGAACGGGUGAGUAACACGUGAGUAACCUGCCCUUGACUUUGGGAUAACUUCAGGAAACUGGGGCUAAUACCGGAUAGGAGCUCCUGCUGCAUGGUGGGGGUUGGAAAUUUUCGGCGGUUGGGGAUGGACUCGCGGCUUAUCAGCUUGUUGGUGGGGUAGUGGCUUACCAAGGCUUUGACGGGUAGCCGGCCUGAGAGGGUGACCGGCCACAUUGGGACUGAGAUACGGCCCAGACUCCUACGGGAGGCAGCAGUGGGGAAUAUUGCACAAUGGGCGGAAGUCUGAUGCAGCAACGCCGCGUGCGGGAUGACGGCCUUCGGGUUGUAAACAGCUUUCGCCUGUGACGAAGCGUGAGUGACGGUAAUGGGUAAAGAAGCACCGGCUAACUACGUG
Molecule: ribosomal RNA, 468 nt
Filed under: uncultured bacterium
Lineage: Bacteria
Description: partial 16S ribosomal RNA
Rfam family: Bacterial small subunit ribosomal RNA
Source: RNAcentral